This 489-nucleotide ribosomal RNA is filed under the name uncultured bacterium. RNAcentral's name for it is "partial 16S ribosomal RNA". It matches the Rfam family "Bacterial small subunit ribosomal RNA", at positions 28 to 507 of the family's 1533-position model. The record is from RNAcentral.
GACGAACGCUGGCGGCGUGCUUAACACAUGCCAGUCGAACGGAAAGGCCCCCAUCUUGGUGGGGGUGCUCGAGUGGCGAACGGGUGAGUAACACGUGGGUGAUCUGCCCUGUACUUCGGGAUAAGCUUGGGAAACUGGGUCUAAUACCGGAUAGGACCAUGGUUUAGUGUCUGAUGGUGGAAAGAUUAUUGUUUUGGUGCAGGAUGAGCUCGCGGCCUAUCAGCUUGUUGGUGGGGUAAUGGCCUACCAAGGCGUCGACGGGUAGCCGGCCUGAGAGGGUGGACGGCCACAUUGGGACUGAGAUACGGCCCAGACUCCUACGGGAGGCAGCAGUGGGGAAUAUUGCACAAUGGGCGCAAGCCUGAUGCAGCGACGCCGCGUGGGGGAUGACGGCCUUCGGGUUGUAAACUCCUUUCGUUAGGGACGAAGCCGCACUUUUUUUGGGUGUGGUGACGGUACCUUUGUUAAGAAGCACCGGCUAACUACGUG